UACGUAUGGGGCAAGCGUCAUCCGGAUUUACUGGGUGUAAAGGGAGCGUAGGCGGCGGGGCAAGCCUGAUGUGAAAGCCCGGGGCUCAACCCCGGGACUGCAUUGGGAACUGCCCUGCUGGAGUGCCGGAGGGGCAGGCGGAAUUCCUAGUGUAGCGGUGAAAUGCGUAGAUAUUAGGAGGAACACCAGUGGCGAAGGCGGCCUGCUGGACGGUGACUGACGCUGAGGCUCGAAAGCGUGGGGAGCAAACAGG
This 253-nucleotide ribosomal RNA is filed under the name uncultured bacterium. RNAcentral's name for it is "partial 16S ribosomal RNA". It matches the Rfam family "Bacterial small subunit ribosomal RNA", at positions 524 to 776 of the family's 1533-position model. The record is from RNAcentral.